This 505-nucleotide long non-coding RNA is filed under the name Carica papaya (papaya). Its description in RNAcentral is "long non-coding RNA (CPAP_LNC001950)". The record is from RNAcentral. Lineage: Eukaryota; Viridiplantae; Streptophyta; Magnoliopsida; Brassicales; Caricaceae.
GGAGGCGUUUUGUGAAAUUCUCCACAGCAGCACUGCCGGACUUUGCCCACGUUUUCUGGCCAAUCAGGUGGUUCUUUUACUCUGAUUUGGCCAUGGGUGUGUUUAAAAUUAAAUUUUGAGUAAAGGAGAAAAUUUUAACCUCUUUUGGCAGUCAGAAAGGGCUUCGGCACGGCGUUGCGUGGCGGCGGUCUCCUUUCCGGCGGCUGGGUCUUCUUAUCCGGCGAGGGGGUCUGGCGGCUAGGGUUAGGGUUUGGUGUGGAUGGAGGUUAUUCAUAUCUGUCCGCUUCUUAUCUGGGCUAUCCAUCACGUUUGAUCUGGAUCGUCUGAUCGCGAUCUAAUCUGGAUCGUUCAUCACGAUCUAAUCUGGAUCGUCCGAUCGCAUUCAAAUUUGACCGUCCGAUCGCGUUUGGGGAGGGAACGCAUCUGGGCCAUUUGUGCGCGCAAGAACGGAUUUGAGCCAUUCGAUCGCAGGCACGCGGAUCGCCCGUAUGGCAUUGCGUCAGUG